RNAcentral lists this ribosomal RNA (497 nucleotides) under uncultured bacterium. RNAcentral describes it as "partial 16S ribosomal RNA". It matches the Rfam family "Bacterial small subunit ribosomal RNA", at positions 28 to 507 of the family's 1533-position model. The record is from RNAcentral.
GAUGAACGCUGGCGGCGUGCCUAAUACAUGCAAGUCGAGCGAACGGACGAGAAGCUGGCGUCUCUGAGGUUAGAGGCGGACGGGUGAGUAACACGUGGAUAACCUACCUAUAAGACUGGGAGAACUUCGGGAAACCGGAGCUAAUACCGGAGAAUAUUUUGAACCACAUGGUUCAAAAUUUAAAUACGGUCUUGGUGUCGCUUAUAGAUGGAACCGCGCUGCAUUAGCUAGUUGGUAAGGUAACGGCUUACCAAGGCAACGAUGCAUAGCCGACCUGAGAGCGUGAAGGGCCAGACUGGAACGGAGGCACGGUCCAGACUCCUACGGGAGGCAGCAGUAGGGACUACUCCGCGCAGGGCGAAAGCCUGACGGAGAAACGCCGAGUGAGUGACGAAGGUCUUCGGAUCGUAAAACUCUGUUAUUAGGGAAGAACAUCUGUGUAAGUAGCUGUGAACAUCUUGACGGUACCUAAUCAGACAGCCACGGCUAACUCCGUG